Molecule: ribosomal RNA, 439 nt
Filed under: uncultured bacterium
Lineage: Bacteria
Description: partial 16S ribosomal RNA
Rfam family: Bacterial small subunit ribosomal RNA
Source: RNAcentral
CCUACGGGAGGCAGCAGUGGGGAAUAUUGCACAAUGGGCGAAAGCCUGAUGCAGCAACGCCGCGUGAGCGAUGAAGGCCUUCGGGUCGUAAAGCUCUGUCCUCAAGGACGAUAAUGACGGUACUUGAGGAGGAAGCCCCGGCUAACUACGUGCCAGAAGCCGCCGUAAUACGUAGGGGGCUAGGGGUAUCCGGAUUUACUGGGCGAAAAGGGUGCGGGGGUGGUUUCUAAAGUCAGAGGUGAAAGGCUAGGGCUCAACCGUAGUAAGCCUUUGAAACUGGGAAACUUGAGUGCAGGAGAGGAGAGUGGAAUUCCUAGUGUAGCGGUGAAAUGCGUAGAUAUUAGGAGGAACACCAGUUGCGAAGGCGGCUCUCUGGACUGUAACUGACACUGAGGCACGAAAGCGUGGGGAGCAAACAGGAUUAGAUACCCUUGUAGUC